This is a long non-coding RNA of Numida meleagris (helmeted guineafowl), 16934 nucleotides long. RefSeq lists it as uncharacterized. Lineage: Eukaryota; Metazoa; Chordata; Aves; Galliformes; Numididae. The transcript has 4 exons. The record is from RefSeq and is a predicted model, not a curated record.
GCAAAACUGUGGGUGUAAGAUGAAAAACAAUUGCAUGAGAUCUCCAGGGCUGGUCCAUAAUGACUCCAAACCCUAAAUUGUUCAUCCCUAGAGCAUGGUUUAUAACUGCAACGGAUCCUGGAGGAGCUGUGUAACUAGCACUUAAAUAAAGGGGAGGCAGGGAGGCCUCCUGCAGCAGUGGCAUUUGUUCUGGGAAGGGCUGACCCAGGGUGGCCACAGCAAGAAGGUACUGAAACCCACUGUCUCCUCCUAGAAACAGAAUUGAAGGUCACAAAGUAAAGACCCCUACAGCCACUGCUGGCCUCCGAUUAAAAAUAAAUCCCUUUCAUGGCCAGACAGUGGUUUGGGAAGGGGAAAUGCUGAAUGGCAGUGAAAACUUGGAUAAUUUUUUGGCUGGGUGUCCUGCAAGGGCAAGCACAAGUGGCACUGAUUCGGCUACAGCUCUAUACCCCCAGCCACUGGCACGCACGUACAGGUGUACUCCCUCCUUUAUAUUUAACUUUUUCACAGUAAAACAAGCCUGAUUUUUAUGGUACAUUUAUCUGAGAGCAAAUGUGAGAGCAGCUCAGCCCCUGAAACAACAGAGAUGAGAAGCUGCUUAGUGUUCUGUCUGUGCCACCUCCAGAGGCAGGAAAAUCAGUCCUCCGUGGGCUUCUGGUGCUUCGCCCCACCUUAUGAUUAGUACCGUUAGUUCCAGGUGCUGGGGGCUGCCACUGUCUUGCCAGAAUGACAAACCAACCAAAAAGGACAAAGGUCCCCCUAUACCUCCUGUACUUCCUCCUCAGGUACAGCGCACAGCAGAGCCAGGCACUUAGAAGACUCAUUCCUGUCCUUACAUGGCACGAGAGGAAGUACGGGUACCACCCGUGGGAGCCGUCCCUCCCUCGCAGCAGGCUGCCAUCCGCUGCUCCUUGACCAGAUACCCAGCAGAUUAUUUUUGUCUUGGCUCACGUAGUCCCAAUGUUACAAUUACCCGCUGACCUCAAACACUUACUUUUAAAAUUACCCCUCUUUAGCAAACCCUGUGUCUAGUGGGUUGGGUGUUUUUUUUUUUUAUUUUUUAUUUUUAUGUCUAAACGGUUAAAUAGUGGGUGUGGUUGAGGAGAGAAAAGAAGAAAGCUUCCAGAGCAGGCAGGAGGGGCAGGGCUGAGAGGGUCUUGGCAUGGAGAAGCCCACAUGCUCCAGAGAGGAGCACAAGGCUUCUUCUCCUUCCUCAGCAGCAUCUUCUUCUGUGGCGUCAGAUUUCCUUGAUGACAAACACCAUUUCACAGAGGUCCCCAUUCCUCAUAGAUACGCCUUGAGACUUACUCUUGCAGCCGUGGCAUAACCCCAGAGACUCAAAGCAGCAUCCUUUGGAUGCGGCAUGAAAGUCAGUACUUUCCUGCAAACUGAUGUUGAACAUAACAGAAAUGACAGGCCAGCAAGUGCAAAGCACUCUGGGCCUGAAGACAAACACAGACGGGGAGAGGCAGCCACGACUGCAAAGUUGUGUUCACCACUUAGGAAAGAUGUCGCUCAUCCAUGGCUGACUGUUGUAUUAAGUUGCCUGCAAAGCUUCUCAGAAUGCACUGAAACACGUUCAGAAAGGAAAGAGGAGCGUCUUGUUCAGGGGUGGAGAGCGUGAGGGAAUGGGACACUAGUCUGCCCUCGUGAUGGAAAAAGAAAGGGAAGCAGCUGACAGGAGUAAGCACCAUUCCUCACAACCAGGAUACUCAUGCAGCUCCUUCAGGUUGCUGCGUGCUAGGGUUUUCCCUCCAUGUUCUAGCUGGCCUCAAAGCCCAGCUGAACUGAUUGGAACCACUGUGAAAGAUAAGGCUCUAAGUAGCAUAAAGAUCUUCAACUGGGCUGGUUUUGAACACUGGCCUUUAAUUUACUUUCUGUCACCUGGCCAGCAGCUCAUUAGGGACAAAGGUCACCAACAAAAAGCUGAAGUCAGUGCUUGUGGAGGAAGCCUGCCAGCAGUGCCCUGAGCUGCAGGUGUUUAUAAUGGGAUCUGCUGCUCAGUGCUAGUUUUGCUCUGUGCUGUUGAGGAUCUGGGGAAGGCUGAGUGGUAGAACGUGGAUCUGAAUACCAUUGGACCUGAAUGACGAUCUCAGCAUUUUUUGUAAGCAAAAGGCUCGCUCAGCAUCAGAGGAGCUGUACAAACACAGUGGGACGUUACGAGAGCAAAUGGACCUAACACCCUCCCAGACCGAAUGGCACUUUUCUGCCACUUAUCGCACUGACCUAAUUCAAACUUCUGGACAGUCAAGUUUGAAAUGAACUGGCUGAGAGCAAACCAGCUCAAGGCCUCGGGUUCUGUUCUUGCUGUGCCACUUACAAUUUCACCCAUGUUUUCUCAAAGCAGCAGCACUUUUCUCCUGAAAGAGCGGGGCUGGGAGUCUCAGGCUGAGAUGAAACAUGGGAAGUGUGGUCUGGUCUGAGACAUCUGUGAGCAGGGGAGUCCCACAAUGUGAGAUCGGGAAAAUAAUUCCCUUAGGGCACAGCACCAUUAUCAGCACAAGGGUUUUGAGUCCUGGCUAAAUUAUUUGUUUGACAUCCUAAAAAUGAAAAUAUUUUGGCUGAAGCCUUUGCAGGCAUUUUAAGAGAGCAGUGAAAUUAAGACCAAUGUUUGGAAGGAACUCAUGUAAGUGAAAACAAACUCCAGGGGGUGAUUUUUUGGGGAAAAAUAAAAAGCUUUCAACGCAAAUAUGAUUUGUCAAAGCUGUGCUACAGCAGGAGCUCUGACAGGAAUUGUGGAUAUCUUCUUUCUGGAUGUGGGAAUAGCCUUCAGGAGUUUGAGUACCCCACCAAAGCCCUGUUUUUUAGCUCAUUCUGAGUUGCUAAAGCUCUGCCACUCUUCACUGAUGGCUUCUGCUCCAGGGUUGAGAAUUGAAGCGCCUGCUCAUGCCGUUUACAUUGGCAGCUAUGGACGUCACACUGGUAGACGCAGGGUGGGGCUGAGUGUGCCCAGGCUCUUUUGCACUGCUUCUCCCUGUCCUCUGGAGGCUGGCAUGGACAAAUGGCCCAGCCUUGGAAAAUAUUAGUAUCUCACUGUGAGUGCUGGUUCUAAGAUGUGCCCACAGGAGGCCGGUCUGUGCUCAGGGAAAUGGGAUCCUUAGCAAGCAGCUAGGUGAAACUCUGGGCUCUACAUGUGGAGCAAAGCAGAGGACUCUGAGUUCACCUGAGUAUACACCAUCACAUCUUAGCCCACUCCGUUCAGUUCUAAUGACAAUUGCACAGGAAAUUACAUAUUCUUCUAAAUAAUUUUGUUCCUCCAUAUGCUACUCUGGACGUUAACGAAGCCUCCCAAGGGCUAAGCCAGGCUGGUUCUGCUGAGUGUGGUGCUGCUGCAGAGUCCUUGCCAGCACUCUCCAUGGAGUGUUUCAACCUCGCUUUAACCCUCCACUGCUCCAUCUGCACAUCUCAGUGCAUUUGCCAGCCACAUAUAAUGUGAUUCAAUCUCAUCUCUGAGAUUUUCCACACAGGCCAGUAGGUAUCAGAGUCUGAGUUAUUUUCAGCCUGUCUGUGACAUCCAAUUCCACCCACUUGGCUUGCACGGAUAUAUAAAUUGUGGAGGUGUCUGAAAUAACAGGCCCGGAGGAAACAUCUGUCACCUCUGAAGGCUUGUGAGAGGAGGACGAGGUGUUCAGCUCCACAUUUACUGUGUCUAACUCUGAUUCUAAGGAAGCAGAGCAGCACGAGGCUCUGUGACACGGGCUGGCCGCUUCAGCAGUCAGGUUUUCAAGCUGCCUUCUUGAUUCAUUUCACCUGUGGAGUUAAAGUGAGCUCAGAAAUCAGGAUGGCACCUUAACCUUUAUCCUCUGAAGGAAAGGGCUGCUUCUCUUCUUUGUUUCUUUGUAUUUUCACUGCAAGACGGCAUCUCUUCUCAAGACCACAGAGCUCGCUGUGCAGGGGCUGACAGGCUGCUCAGCUCUGCAACCUGUCCCUGUGCUCUCCAUAGCAGCGAAAGCUGCGAGCGCACAGAGGCCGGCUCAGCGCGCACCACUCCCACGCACCAACGCAUAACGGCAAACGCCAUCUUGGAGGGCUGUACGGGCCGCGGGGCGGUGACGCAGACGAGACGCAGCAGCGCGCAGGCACGCGUGGACAGGCACAGCCCGGAGAGGCCGCGCCCCCUGGCGGUCGGAGGCCGAUACGGCAACUCUCUGCUCUUCGUGUGGGGCGGCUCCGCCCCGCACCCGCCAGGGGGCGCCCCCGGCACGGCCAUGGAGAUGGCGGCCGGGCGGAGGGCGGGGCUGGGUGCACCGCCAUCACCGCGGCUCGGGUCUGGGCGGGGAGCGCUUCUUCCUGGUGACAGCGACGGGACCCGAGGGAAUGGCGCGGAGCUGCGUCGGGAGAGAGUCAGGGUGGGUGUUAGGAAAAGGUUCUUCUCCAGAGGGCGGUGAGGCGCUGGCACAGCUGCCCAGAGAGCUGUGGGUGCCCCAUCCCUGCAGGUGUUCAAAGCCGGGUUGGCUUGCCCUUGUAUUUAAAAUGAAAAAACAGCAAAAACCAGCUGAGUAAAGCUGCCCCGGUUGGUACCCAAACAGUCCUGGAUACGGAAGCAGAUGUAAGCGUGGAAGAAAACCUUGAAGGAACAGAUAACUGAGGGUACCAGUUAGCUCUCCAGGAGGUUCUGUGUUUGUUACCUGGGAAAGCUGUCGCUAACUCAGGUGUAACAGUGGUUUGUAGUGCAGUGCUAGUUUUAGUUGACAGCUUGGGUACUAACAGGUGUAGCAAGAGCAGUGGGACGUGUCAUUCCAGCUACAGACUUGCUGAGGGGCUGGGGAAAGGCCUGGGCGCUGAGUCCCAGUGGCCGUACCGGUAGGAGCUCCUCACUGGCAGCUGGCUCCGGUACGCCUGCAAUGCUCCGACAGCAAUGUGGGCAUGCGGUGAGAAGCGCUCCUGCUCGCUGUGCGCCAUUAUGUUGAUGGUGUCGUGUCAUCUGCUCCCGGCAGGAGCCCAGGGCUGCAGUGCAGGAGGAUGGGAUGAGCAAGGAAUUCAUUCUUUCCACUUCUGUAGUCUUUUGAGUCAUGUUCUGAAUCGUAUCAAACAGCUAUCUUUUGCAAAACCACCUACUCUUUUGAAAUGAAAUCUAAACAGAGCUUGGAAAUAAAGGUAGGUGUGGAGUUAAUCCAGUUUCCGCAGGUUUGUUCCCCACCAUUGUGAAAAACAGGAUUUAUAGGAGGGCUGUAGAACGUGAGUAAGAGGAAAGCUCUAUAUUCAUGAAAUGAUCAACCUUGUAGUAGGUAAUGGAUGAUUACAAGAGCAGGGAAGCUUUCACAGACAUUAGUGUUCUUGGUGGCAGCAGAAUGAACUGGCAAAUAUGUACACAGUUGGCAAAGUGUUGCGUGCAGUAGCAGAUCGUCUGAAUCGUACCGAGGGAAGAAGGAGGUGCAUCCUCACAUCCUCACAGGUCCUUCAUAUGCACGAGAGCUGGUCGCCAGUGCCACUGUGGUGUCUGUAUCAUUGAUGUUUUGUCUUUGAUGUGCGCUCACCACGUGCUUGGAUCUGCUGUUUCUGCACUGAAGCCGCUCCUUAGGCUGCCUUGGGCUGCCAACUUGUCUCCAGUUCGUACAGAGGGAGCAAAUUCUACACAAACCAGAGCAGACAGGAUCAGUGAAGAAUCUGCAUGCCGGUACUAACUUAUGAAAGAUCACGAGGAGAAGGGGUUCAAAAUGUGCCAGUGAAGCUGAGUGGGCUAAGUUUGUGUAUUGCAUUUGGUGGAAGCUAAACAGAAAACAGUCUGUGAGCUGAAAUAUGACGGACAGAAAUACGAAGGAUUGUUAAGGACAACACGGGCUGAGCUGUCCAAGCCAUGGAAGGCGUGGGCAGAGCUUUCCCAGCCGCUGCUGAAUGCCCACCUGCAGCUCAGUGCAGCAGGCAGACUACCACACGUGGGAAACUUCCUGAUGCACUGAAGUCUGAAGUCCGAAUCAUGGACAAGCAAACUUGCUGUGUGACAGAGUGAACCAGGAAGCUUUUAAUGGGCGGUUUAUCCUGGAACAGUUCACCAAACAUUAUAUCCCUAUUAACAGAGAUUUAUUUCACGGGCACUUUUUUACUGCCAUGUAGCUCGUACUUACUUAAAGGGGGAAAUAACUGGAUGACCAACUAAUUUUUCAAGAGGUACUGACUAAGUUCAAACAAAUUAUACUUGGAAUAAAUGCAAAGAUCCUGCUGAGCCUCUGGUGAUUGGUGAUUUUGAUUUGGUUAGAAAGGUGUUAAAAUCAGAGCCUGGAGAUAUUUGGCCCUAUUUUUUGCUGUCUGCCACGGUACCUAGUUACUGUUUCUGAUAUUAUCAUCUGCUUUAACACACAAAUUCCCUCAAACAGCAGUAGUCCCUAAUAUAUCCUCCUUAUAUUCCCAUCUUCUUGGCCACAUAUUGCUUACUGUGCUAAGUGCUAAAUGGCUUUCGGAAAGUGCUAAGAGGGUGCUGUGAAAGGACUAAGCUGAGUUUCACAAACCACCGCCUGUACAGAGAAAUAGUGUUAUUAUGGAGGGUAGUGCCAGCAGGCCGGCGGGGGCUUAUUCUGACAAAGCCGAAGAGCCGAACUUCACGGUCGUGUUCUUAGGAUGAUUUAAAUGAGACAUUUUCACCUUGAAGGAAUGAAGUUUUUUGUUCCUAACUGAAAUAAAACAACUGGAUACUUCAUGAGAAAUAUUCAACAGGAUCAGUAUGUUCCAGGUCAAGUUCAUCUACUCUGCCAUCUCUAUCAGAAACCAGCUCAGCACUCGAUAAUUCUUAGAAUGGAAAAACGAUUCUUGGAAGAUGAUGGGAACAAAGCCCCAGAGCUAGAAAAGGAACAUUGUUUCUUAAGCUCCAGCCGAUCUCAGGAAAACAAAAACCAAACCAGCCAUGAAGGUACUACAUCUCCACAACAAUUCAGAUGUUCCUUGACUAAACGCAGUUGUAUGGGCAUUUGCAGAGAGUAAAACAGAUCAAUAUUUGUUAUCUUCUCCAACAUGUGGCAGCGUGCUGGGUCCAGUGUAUGAGCUUCAGCCUACGAGCAGAAGGGUAGCAUCACGAUAUGAGAAGCCAAUUCAUUGCAAGAGAAUUUCAGAAAUGCUGUGUGCAUGGAGGCUUUCCGGAGAAUCAGUUCCCUGGUUAAAUCACAACAGAGACUGGUGGCUACGGAAACACAAUAUGUCCGCAUGGAUGUAGGCAAGGCACAAGAGACUAGAAGCAGAGACUCUGCACUGGAGAAUGUCAUGUGGAAUGGUGUCAAAACCUUGUAAGAAUCAAGACGUAUAACGACUGUUACUUCUUUCCUAUGAAGAAAGGUAUGUGGAACCCGAUCUAAGACAGAUAUAGGCUUGAACAAAUUUAUCAGUUUCCAAUCUUCAGUUCAAUCACUGCAAUUUUGUGUGUAGCCAUAACCUCAGUAAUUGUCUUCUGUAUCUCAGUGAUUAAAGCUCAUUCAAAAUUCAGCCAAGUUUCAGGAAAACAUUUUCUUUCCUUGCUAAGACAUUAUGUAGACAGAAAUAAGAGACUUUCUACCGUCCCAGAUUCAGUGAGAGAGAAGUUGGCACUGUCUAAUACCCAUAUAGCUGUGAUAAACUCCUUUGCAAAAACAUGACAAUGUAGGUUGAUUCUUGAAGAUAUUUCUUUGCUUUGUAGAAUCCCCAUUCAAGGAAGCACAUUAAUGUGUGCUAAUAGUUGUGUAUGAUUUUAAUUUAUGUACUAUUCUGUAGUAGUAUGAAAUUCCUGAUGCAAUCAGUAUCAUUGCAAAAAAUAAAGCUGUUCUUACAAAUGAGUUACAAAUCCUCAUUAGCCUUCAGAUGUUACAUUAGACAAGCAUUUGCUAUAUCCUCCAGAUAUUAUGCAGAUUUUGGUGCUGUUUAUUGGUCACCUCUGUCCUUAAUAGCCUCUAUCACCCCAGUAUCUAAGCAACUUGAUCCUGUAUGCCCUAGUGUUAAACAAUGGCCUACCUCUAAGAGAUGCUUUUCUUUUUAGGGAAACUAGUACAUCAUAUCAAGGAAUGAAUGGUUAUGAUUCUAUAACACUGGAAGUGACUAAUCCCGUGUUGUAAAUGGGAUAAAGGGAAACGGAAUGUAUUUUGAGAACAAACAGUAAUCAUUGACACAGUAAUUUGCAUCCCUAGAUAUUAUAAUAAUGACUAAGUAUCACUUCCCCUUGUUUGCAUAAGGAAGAGUAGGCAGAGAAAUCCAGUGAUUCGGCUAUCGCCCAAGCAAGGCGCUGGAAAAGAUAGCAUAGGUCGCUUUACUUCAUGUUGUUUUCCUCUUCUCUACUAUGUGUUUGAAAUUCAGCAUUACAAAAGUCAUGAUCCUUUCCAGCACAGAAGUCUCUGUCAGUGUUUCACCAGUUCAUUCCACAGCUAGCCUCAUGCCACAAGAGUUGGUCAAGACUUGUGGAAGGUUGGAGAGAGGCGAGGCACAGAGCAUUGCCUUCAGAAGAGCUAGUUUGGAUGGGUGACUUGGGAUUCCUGGCAAUUUACAUGUAUUAAUUGCCAACAGCCUCAAUCUGUGCUGUCUUGCUGAUGAAGCUAACAUAUUUUUGCUGCCUGAGGAAACUUCCUGCUCUUUAGAAAUCAAUCGCAAUUGUAAGGACCAAAGUCUAUUCAGCGACCCUUCUGCUUCAUGACCAACUUGCAGCACAGGAAGUACUCACUAAAAUUGGAUCCUGAAGGUAUGUUUGCGCAGAGAGCUGCGUUCACAAAUAUUUCUAGACAGGCAGUCGCUAGGAAGUCAGAAGCACCACAUCAGAGAUGGAUUAUUUGGGAGCUGAAAAGCAAAUAUGUUUAAUGUCUUAAUUUUUUUUAGAAGAAAAUUAAGCACCUGCGGUAUGAUUUGCUUUGUACUAAAUAAAGGGAGGGAAAAAUGUCAUUAGUAGAAUUGGUAAUAGCGUUCUAAGUUGUCUUUGAAUUUCACACUAGCUGCAUAUCACAGAACCAGGGCAAAUAGCAGUGAAUACAACCUUUACUUAGCUUCUCCUGACAAACAUACAGCAAAGGGUACAGCGGGCUCACACUGACACGCGGCCAGAGGAGGUACCUAGAAAAGGCAGUCACUCUUUAUUCUAAUUAUUUGUUUUCUUGUGGCUAUAGGCCCAAAGCGAAUAGCAAAACGGGCAGAUCUUAAGACUUCACUGUGUGAGAAUAUGAUAAUCUCUAAUUAAGGUCUGUCUAGCCUUACUCCCCUUCUGCCUGGUUCAUGUACCUAAACCAGAGGUUAGACUUUCCUGAAUAUGUGAGGUAAUUGUUGCUGUGAGCAUGUGGCAUUCAGCUGUGAGAAGCAAUGGAGAGAGGAGGAGAAUAUCUAGCUGCUGAAUAUGUCUUCGUGGUGGAGGUGUCAUCCUGGCUCUUCUGUGGGCAAGACUCUCAGUGUGUUUCAGGGUUGGUGGAAAACCAAAAAAUACCAAUCAGCUGUGAAUCCCGCUGCCUAAUGCCUGCCUGACAAUUUUGCACACAUGCUGCACUCUUCCCCCUGCUCUUUGCCUUCAAGUAGAAGUGCUGCCAGUGUUGCAAGGCCUCUAGUGUGAGAAUAACCCUGCCACGCUGUGGGUUGAUUGGCAUCCUUUGGGCACCACUGCAAUACAGAUGAAGAAAUGUUGGUUUACAUUUGAGUAGAAGACCAUAAAUUCAGUGAUUCUGGCUCAUUACCACUGCAGCAGAUAGCUAGGAACACCCUUACUUUUUCUAGAGCAUUUUUCAGCUGCUUUCUGGUUGUUGUUGUUGUCUCUCUCUUCCCCUACAAUGCCCUCCCAGUGGCUCCUGCCAUCCUUCUGGUCCCAAACCUUCCAUCAUUCCCUGUUCUUUCCAGAGGGGAGGGAGAUGAUGGUUUAUUGGGUCUGCAAAGGAGGAAGAAACAGGAGACAUCCAGCUAUCAGGGCAGGGGAGAGGGGAGGAGCAAGGGAGGGAAAAACAGCGAGGAGAGCCGGAGACAUACUGGCUGGAGGGAGGCACUGGAGAAAGAGAAAGCUGGGAGCAAAGCUGGAAGCAAACAAGGACGAGAACAGAGGCAGAGGAAGGCAGGAGGGACACUCACUGGGAUACAGGCAGGGACAAAGAGUGGAAAGAAAAUGCCAAGAAAAGAUGAAGGGGAAAGGAGGCAAUUUAGGGAGGAGUGAAAACAAGAUUAUGAGGGGAAGUAGGAGGAUUUGAGAUGUUAUGCAUUAGGAGGCAGGAGAGAAGGGAGAUUUCACGGAGGGCAAUAAUUAAAGGUGGAAUUGCACUUGGCAUUGAGGAAAGCACUUUGGGCUGAAGAAAAAGAAAGAGGGAAAAGAAGGAAUAAAGGAAAAAAAAUCAAAUCCUUGUGUGGAUCAGGGAGAUUUCAUGAGAAAAGGAAAAAGAAGGAAAGAAAGGAAGAAAAAGAAAGAAAAAAAGAAAGAACAAAAGAAGAAAAGAAAGGAAGGAAGGAAGGAGGAAAAGAAAAAAAAUCAUAUGAGCUAGAAAAUAGGAGGGAAAUCAACAAAAGACAGCACUAAUCUAAAAUACAGAUUGAGAAAAAGGGAAGAUUGCAUGAAUCGUGAAGGAAAGAGAGAAAUAAAGGAGGAAAGGAGAGUAGCCUUGGAAUAUAUCAGAAUUCUUCCCUAAAAUAGAUCCAAACAGAAUCUUUACUUAAAAAAUAAAAGUAAACAUUCAAGCAACAGUAGAAACACACAACUUUUUAAAACACUGAAAUAUUUUUGAAUGCGUUCAGCCACUUUUUCUGGUCCCAGCACUUGUGGCUCUUAAAUUCUCUAUAAAAUCCCUGAUGUACUGUAGAGCCCUUCCCUAUACAAAGGACAUCAUGUAAAGCCACACACUUGUUACUGAACCAGCAGUAGGAGGAAAGAAGAUCCCUCCAUGUGUAAACCCCAUUAUCCUCCCCAUUACUUAACAUAAUUUGCCUUAGGCAGCAAGUUGAAUCCUCCAAAUAUUCGCUGCAGAGAGAGAUACAGAGUGAGGAACUCACUUAUCUUUUCAGGUGGAUUUCACAGUCUGGUUUUCUCUCUUUGUUCUCUCUUUCUCCCUGGUUCUGUUGUUUUUCUUUUAUCUUUCCCUUUCACGUUUUUCAGCCCAAUUUCGCUUUCUGCCUGCUGUUCUCAAACAACUUACUCAGUUUCUGGUUAUAUUUUCCUUGCCAUCUGUCACCCACCCUCUGCUGAUGCCCUCCAGGUGUUCCUUCAUUGUCCAUGCCACCCCUUUGCAUCUCUGCCUCUCCCUCCAGGUGAUGACCUCUAUAGGUCCCCUACCUGCCUCGACCAGAGCGUGUGCACUGCCUGUGUCACCAGGAUUGGGUACGUGACUUGCCAGGUUAACUCCAAUGUCUCGUUCCAUCUCAUAAAAAGGGAAAUAUCUACAACUGUAUAGUUCCCCUUUGAACACUGGUAGAAAGGAAUAUCCACCUCCAUCACAUAUACGCUUAUUACAUGUCUAUUCUCUAUUUGCUUUCGUUUGAUCUCAUGGUCUCUCGUCUUUUCUGCUUCAUUUAUUUGACCUUCUCUUCUGAUCCGAGUAUUUGAUCUGAAGUUAAAAAAAAAGUGCAGGUUGGACUAGAUGAUCUUUGUGGUCUUUUCCAACCUUAAUGAUUCUAUGAUUCUACUGAGGCCAAUGGACUGAGGUCUGGAGAUCUCCCUGAAGAUCCUGAAGAUGCCAAGCCUCCCCUGCAUGCCACUUACAAAAUCAAUGCACUGCAGGACAUCCAUGAGGUGUCCUGUCCGUGCCAAACUGAUUUGUCUCACACAAGCCUAAAUGAAGUCUUAAAGAAUACUCCUGAACUGUAGCAAUCUGAGGUCUCAUCCACAGCCCUGGGACCGAGGAACCUUAGGUGGUCCCAAAGCAGGCAUCUUGGUGCCCUUGUAAUCAGUGUGACCAGUCCUCACCAUAAAGAGGUGAGGAAUCUCAACCUUCACAUUGCUCUGUUCUGGGCCUCACCACAGGCAGCACCCUGGACCACUGCAGAUGUUGGCACCUACCCAGGCACCAACGUGCCCUAGCCCACACACUCUUACGAUAUCCUUGAUCCCACUGGUAAAGGAGUCACAGGGACCUUCCUAACCCCACACCACCUGGAGUCUCCUCUAGUGACACAUCCUGAAACGCCCCUAGCUGAAGUCAACAGCAAAGAGCUUUCUACGUGUGCUGCAAAAUGGUAACUUAGGAGAAAGCAGAUGGCACGUGUAGAGGAUUACAGCAUUCAGAUUUUUCUUUCAGAUGAAGUUAAGGGCCAUGUCUGAAUAAUCCUAACGCUGCAUGCUUUCUUCUGGCACUGGCAUAACCCCUCUGUGCAUGUGGAGCCCAGGGUUAGGAGGGGCAAUAGGAGUGAGAGAGGUAUUGGCAAAGGGCUUGUACUCUCACAGGGAUAAGAGCUGGAGUUUGUUAAUGCCAAUGCUGUAUAUUAUGUUUUCAGGAGUGAAAAUACUCAGUCUUUUCCUUAAGUGUUUGCACAGUGCCCAUAACGCAUGGCUCUUAUUUGAAUCAGGUGCUGGUGCUGCUGUCCCAUGGCAAACAUUGCAUGUCUGGAACAAUUCUGUCAGGGUGAGGAUCCUCUGCUUCCCAGCAUGUGUGUGUGUGCCUGUAUCAUUACAAAGCACAUCUAGGGGGCAGCUGAAACUUGAGACGGUGGAUGCAAAAUGACACUAUUGCUUAUCUACCUAAUCAUGCCAUUUUAUCCUCAGUAUCAAAACAAAGAAGGAGCCUCUAAACUUUUCCAGUGUGUAUCAGAGGAUUGGGACAAACUGGCCUGGCAGGCAGGUUCCUCACCAAGCAGUUCACACCGACUGCCGAAAGAAGAGGCAAGAUGAGCUGGGAAGCCGAAAGUCAGCAAAAAAAUCUCUGCUGCUUCUGCAGCUGCCUGAUGGUGAAAAGGAGCCAUCUCGAUGCCAGAAGGAGAUAAUCCGCUGACAGCCGGUUAUGCUAGUAAAGAUAAAUAAACAGCAGCUAUUUGAUCCCCUCCAAGGACACCACGGUAGAAGGGGUAUAACUUCCCAUCCCUCAGCUCUUUACAAAUAGCAGAGAAACAUUUGUUUCUGGGGAAUAAUUAAUUUAUUUCAGUCUGGGGCAAAAGAAGAUUUGCUGAAGGCCAGGGUGGUCUGGAAAGGCACCUUUGCAUAUUUGGAUAUUUUUCCUUGAAUUCCUCACUAAAUCUGUACAAGAAUCAUUUCUUCUCCACAAGGGCAGGCAGUGUUUGAGGUCUCUCAUUUUAUCCAUUAAGGUUAAUGUUCCUAAUACAGUCUUCUCAUCUCUGCCAGAAAGGAUUCCCUGAGGAAUUUAAAACUUUUGAAUGAAUUCCCCGGAAAUAUCCAUUGAUAUAAUUAUUCCCAGGCACUGUAAGUUCAGUUUUGCUAGAAAGAGGCAAGCAUCCCAUGCAAGCGAGGAAAGACAUGGUUUGUGUGAAACUAGGGAGAUAAAAAUUCAUUUUCCAAGCUUCAAUAUAUUUAGCAGUGUUGUAGUUGUUGUGGUCUAAGGAUGUAGAAGAGCAAAUCAUGAAGGUAGUAUAUGAAAUCAACUGUUAUCACUGGGAAACACAAGAGAACUUUUAGGUAUACAAACCUUUCUUUAGGUCCAAACUGGAAGAAACAAACUUCAAGUUAAAUAUAGAUUUAAAUGUUGCAGAGAACAUAUUUUCCAUAGAAGGAAGACUUCUCAGUCCCUCUGAGGUGGAAUUAAACCAGCCCCUGUCACUCUUAGCGGCUCUCCCUUUUCUACUGUGUGCACCAACGGAAAUACUUUAGUUCAUACAAAUUUGCCUUGUGGUUUCCAAGCAAAUGCCCAAAUGGUCCUUCGAGCAGACGAGCAUGAGGAUGCUAUUUUGGUGAGUAAGGAUGAGUGAUACAUUUCCUCCCUGGCCAUCAAACAGCCCCCUUGCACAAGUCCUGUUAGAACAAUCUAUUCUUUAUUAAAAGAUAAAUUGUUUCCCAUUCCAAUAAAUACAAGUGAUGAUGUAAGGACCAUUUUCAUUCUUAGAGGUUAGUGAUACAAAAACAAGACAAAUCACAGUACAAGAAGUUUCAUUCUAUUGAAGCAGAGCAGAAGGCACACCAAGUCUGUGUACCAUGGGCACACAUGAAAAGAGAAGUCUCUUGCAAAGAUUUUGUUUCCCCUCUGAAAAAAAAAAAGAAAAAAAGUAACAUCUUUUGCUCCUGAACUUGUACCUACAACAGUACUGAAGGAGACCAAAGAUGCCUCAUCUAUCCCAUCCUUUCCCUGAUAACGUCCCAUCUCAAGGACUUCGGGAGGGCUGUAUGAAAUGGAGCCCGGAGGCCACCGGCCGUCAGGGCUGAAAGUCUGACAGUGCAUCCUUCCACAGGUUUGUUUCAUGAUUUUCUGAACAUGUCUAUCCUGUCAGGCUUCACAGCUUGCAGCAAGGAGUUUCAAAUGUGGUUAUGGGUCGGGUGAAAAGAUAUUGCUUUUUGUUUGUUUUAAACACUGAUCAAUUCACUUCUCACCACUUUCUCUUGCGCGCUGAGAAAUGGUGACUGAUUGCUCCCUGGCAUCCUUCUUCAUGCCGUUCUCCACCUGGCAGGCCUUUCAUGCUCCCUCUCAGUUUUAUUUAUUUAAUUUUUAAGCUGAAAAGUCCCAGUACACACAUUUUUAUGGAAAUGGUCCCAUAUCCCAGGAGCUGACUUUCCAAUUCCAGCGCAGCUCUCUUGAGACAGGCAGUGUGCUCCGGCUGCCACGAGGGAUGGGCACAAAAUGUCUCCAUGAAGGGGAACAACACAAGCUCCCAUUUCACUUCACCUUCUUCGGGGAGCUUCCAGCCACUCAUUCAACUCUUACUUGGCCAAUAGCAAGCACUGCAUUGAUGUUUUCAACAACUGAGGUAAACAGGAACUUUGCAGUGUUUUGAAACUACCAGAGACUUUCAUUCUAAUUCACUUCUGUUUAUCCAAGUCCACUGCAAGAGCAACUAAUUAAAUUAUGUCAUGUGUCCACUCAAUUUCCUAACAGAAUUCAGAAAGAAACUGUUUUUUUUCAUGCUGUCCCUCCCGGUUUGUGUUUACAUGUAUUAAUCAUACAGCGGAGCUAUGCCAAUCAGAUUUGUGAAUGUAUUGACAUUAUCUAACUAUUUCUUAUCUCUGAAGUGUAACAUUGGUGUGUCUUACUGUUAUUAAUCAAUUUUAAAUCAAGGAAUGCACAAACAGGCUUCAUAGCUGAAUUUCCUAACUUUUAAGUGAUAUAUUUUGCAACUUGCUUGUCACACAAAAAACAGAAGACUUGAGUGGAAGAAGUUAAAAUCAAUUAUAAAUAACAGUAGCUCUGUAGGCCUCUUUUUACAUGGAGUAUUGUGUUCAGCAGUGGGGCCUGCAGCGUAAGAAGGUUGUGAAGCAGUUGGAGCAGGUCUGCAGGAGGGCCACAAAGACGACUGGAGGGCUGGAGCACCUCUCCUAUGAAGACAGACUGAGGGAGCUGGACUUGCUCAGCCUGGAGAAGAGAAUGCUUCAGGGAGACCUCACUGUGGACUUCAGUGAGUAAAGGGUGCCUACAGGAAGGUGAGUGAGGGACUUCUUAGCCGGAAGUGUAGUCAUAGGACAAGCAGAUUGAUUUAGAUUAGAUAUUAGGAAGAAAUUUUUCAUUGGGAGGGUAGUGAGACCCUGGAACAGGUUGCUCAGAGAAGCAGCACCUGGAGGUGUUCAAGGCCAGGGUGGAUCGGGCUGAGGGGAAACUGAUCUAGUGUGGACAUCCCUGCCCAUUGCAGGGGGGCUGGAACUGGAUGAGCUUUAAGGUCCCUUCCAACCCAAGACAAUCUACAACCAUAUGAUCACAAUGUAUUAUGCUGUAGCUCUAAUGUAAACCAUAACUAAGUAAAAGGGAUUCUUUACAGAUGCACUCCAUAGAAGCCAAGCUUUUGACUCGUCUUUGACCUUCCCUUCGCCCCUCCCCAUUCAGUUCCAAAUGCAGCACCUUCAGAUCCUGAUGACUUGUGAAAGAGGCAAGGAGAGACUAGGAGGCCAAAGCAGAAACCUGGCAAAAACCAAACCUACGGUAACAGCACCCACAGUGUGCUUAAUGCCUGAUAAUCUGCGAUUGACUAACACUGCUUAUUGUUAGGCCAUGAAAACUCACUCUGAAUCCUUGCGCUGUCACCCACCUCUCUGUCUACUGAGUCAUAGUUAACUCUUAUUCUCACAUGCAAAGCCAUGCACAGCUCUGCUCUGACAUUGCCUUUCCCCACUGCUCCUUAAUAACUGUUGUUUCACAGCUGGCCUACUUGUCAGCACAACAAUCAGCCAGGGCAACAUGAGAUAAAUACAGGGGUUUCAAUGAUUUAAUACUUCCCAAAGUUCACUACUUCUGCACUGCUUGAAACACUGAUGUUAUUUGUACUACACUGUUCAAGAAAAGAUGAUACUGAGAUUAAAAUUAAAAUUAGCAGUGUGAAUUUAGUGCUCAGCUGGUAAUCUCAGCUCAAAUAUACAUCUAGUUAAACACUCAAAGGAAAUAGAACUGCUUUUUAGGUUCUCCAACCCCUCAAAACCCAGGAUCUUUACAUAUCUAGUGAUAUGUAAGGAUUCAGGGGCCAAAUUUAUGCAAAGAAUUUUGAAAACUGCAGUCAGUAUUUACAUUUGAAGUAGCUAGCAUCCUGCAAUUAUCAUCACCACCUGGUGCAUCUUGGUUCCCCCUUCCCCUCCCCACAGUGACCUUUUACAUCAUGAGUUCCUCAGGAUAGGUUCUGUUGUAUCAGGUCUCCCCUGCUAGGUGCCAAAAUGAUCGUUAACACUUAAAAGAGCUAAAAAAGAUGCCAUGUUCUGUCUACUGGUUGUACCGUUUAUGGGAAUGUACAUCUCCCUACAGAUGCUGUUUGCCCGUAAUGUCUGAUUUCUGUGCAUGUGGAAGACCUACCAGCUGAGAUGUCUAUGUGCCUGUGUUAAAACCUGGUGGCUGCUGUCAUUGCCCAUGGGUUGUGCCCUUGGUUUACCACUUCGAGUGGACUUCUAUUCACUUAUCAGGCUAGUGACACACAGAAAUGCUCUGUUAAAGGUCGCCAUUUCCUUUCUUUGGGUCCUUGAA